This 730-nucleotide ribosomal RNA is filed under the name Priestia megaterium. RNAcentral describes it as "bacterial SSU rRNA". It matches the Rfam family "Bacterial small subunit ribosomal RNA", at positions 51 to 766 of the family's 1533-position model. The record is from RNAcentral. Lineage: Bacteria; Bacillati; Bacillota; Bacilli; Caryophanales; Bacillaceae.
AUAAUGCAGUCGAGCGACUGAUUAGAAGCUUGCUUCUAUGACGUUAGCGGCGGAGGGGAGUGGCACGUGGGCAACCUGCCUGUAAGACUGGGAUAACUUCGUGGAAACCGAAGCUAAUACCGGAUAGGAUCUUCUCCUUCAUGGGAGAUGAUUGAAAGAUGGUUUCGGCUAUCACUUACAGAUGGGCCCGCGGUGCAUUAGCUAGUUGGUGAGGUAACGGCUCACCAAGGCAACGAUGCAUAGCCGACCUGAGAGGGUGAUCGGCCACACUGGGACUGAGACACGGCCCAGACUCCUACGGGAGGCAGCAGUAGGGAAUCUUCCGCAAUGGACGAAAGUCUGACGGAGCAACGCCGCGUGAGUGAUGAAGGCUUUCGGGUCGUAAAACUCUGUUGUUAGGGAAGAACAAGUACAAGAGUAACUGCUUGUACCUUGACGGUACCUAACCAGAAAGCCACGGCUAACUACGUGCCAGCAGCCGCGGUAAUACGUAGGUGGCAAGCGUUAUCCGGAAUUAUUGGGCGUAAAGCGCGCGCAGGCGGUUUCUUAAGUCUGAUGUGAAAGCCCACGGCUCAACCGUGGAGGGUCAUUGGAAACUGGGGAACUUGAGUGCAGAAGAGAAAAGCGGAAUUCCACGUGUAGCGGUGAAAUGCGUAGAGAUGUGGAGGAACACCAGUGGCGAAGGCGGCUUUUUGGUCUGUAACUGACGCUGAGGCGCGAAAGCGUGGGG